UUUUUCUAGGGGGCUACUGUUGGGUCUUCAGUGUUUUGCUUCACGUUUUUAUGCUGAUUAUGCUAUCUUGAGUGUGCAUGUUUGUUCUUUCAUUUCUUCAUGUGUAUGUGCACUGUCAAAAAAUUAUAGAAAUUUAUUCUCACAUGUUUGUAAGUGUCGUGUGGUAACCCUAUGAGUUUUUAUUCAAUACAUCUUUCAAAAAAAAAAGUGUGUGUUUUUAGUUUCAUCAUUCAAUGUACUUCGUCCUUCUAUGAACGUUACCGAUUUCACUCCAAUCAUGAUUAUAUGUAAUUAAAUAAUUUUGACCAUCAAUCAAUAUUACCUUCUUUGAGCUCUCACAGUCUCAUUUAAUAAUUUGCAUCAUAUCUAUACACACACCAACUCCUAUCCUAAUGAGAACAUUUAUAAAUGUUAGUAUAUACCAACCAACUAGAUGCUAAUAGCAAUAGACAAAAACAAAAGUUUGCAAAAAGGAAUUAAAAAGGACUUGAAAAUCAUAUUUUUAGUGGUGAAUUUACUCAAUUUAGAGAUGUCCAUGUCAUUACUUAAUUCCUUGAUUUAAGACCUUUUGCAGGUGAAGUAAUCAAUCCCAUUUACUUUGUGAAAACUGAAAAGAUUCUGCCCCCUAGGCCUUUAAGUUGGCGUACAAUGAUUAAGUGCCAAAAAGAAAUCUGACUAUUCAUGGAGCGGGUGCAUCCUUUACUCAGUGGCACCUAGCUAUAACACAUAACAUUUGUUUUUGCCUUUUAAUUCUUUCAUCAACAAUGAACGAACAGAGUGGCUGUUCCUUUGAACUCAGGCUUUCUACAACUUUGCUUGCCCCAAUGAACGGAUCGUGCUUCUCCAUUCCUUUUUCAUUAAGUUAACAAGUGGAAUCUUUGAACCAUCUUGAGUCUUGACAUUUUGCUAAGUUGAUCAGCAACUAAGCAAGCAUUUUUACAGAUAAGGUAAAGUUAAUUUAUUUAGUUAAUUGGACUUAGACAAAGGGAACGACAAUCAAUGAGAAAGUAGGGUGAAAAAACUUGUCAAUAAAGCUAAGAACCAGUGAUUAGUUCAAAUGAUACAUAUUUAAUAGUCUCAAGUUUAAGUGUUGUGUAC
Molecule: long non-coding RNA, 1098 nt
Filed under: Lotus japonicus
Lineage: Eukaryota; Viridiplantae; Streptophyta; Magnoliopsida; Fabales; Fabaceae
Description: long non-coding RNA (LJAP_LNC000666)
Source: RNAcentral